Molecule: long non-coding RNA, 1621 nt
Filed under: Homo sapiens (human)
Lineage: Eukaryota; Metazoa; Chordata; Mammalia; Primates; Hominidae
Description: HSALNT0364020
Source: RNAcentral
UGCCCUUUCCUGAGUGCUUCAGGGAUAGAGGAUGUGCCUUAUUCAUCUUUGCAUCCCUGCUGGGCCAGCUCAGAGCCUAGCAUACAAUAGACACUCAACAAAUGUUUGGUGGAUUUUAACGAAUUGCCUGAAAUUUUAUAUACCUUACUGAGUCCUCACAGCCAACCAGAAAGUGACUCUUUAUUCUACCCAGCCCUCAUCACAACUAAACUUGAGGGUUUCUAAGUCUCUUCUCAAGAAUAUAAGCAUCUGAAAGCAGGAGCCAUUUACCAUUCAUUCACGGGUUCUCAGGAAACUUUUGUUGGAUGAAUGGCCAUGUCUUUUUCAGUGGUUCCUCUUCUAUCUAGGACUAGUUUCCUACUGUUUGGGUUCCCUCAGGAGCUAACCCUAAAAAAAGGAUUCAAAUGCAAGUAGCAUCUGAGAGUAAACUACUUAUAGGCAAAGGAGUGGGGAUGUGAGAUAGGGAAGGGAAGGCCCCUAAGAAUGGGUGUGUUGCAGAAUUGUGCCAUCAGAUGGUGGGCGGGGGAGCUGGGGUAUUUAUAUGCCUGCCCAUCAGUUAUUUGUUGGGGGCUGCUUCCAGGGGGUGUUCAUACCUUUUCACUUCUGAUCUGCUCCAUGUAUGGGCAAAGCUGCCUUUAGAGGCCAGAAAGAGCUUCAGGAGAAGAAAGUAGACUUGGAAGUUGGGCUGGCUGUACUGAAAUGGUCAUAGGGUAUAAAUGGGGUGCCCACUGCCACAGCUGCAGCAACCUUGGAAGAUGUUAUAAAGAUACCAUUUUGCAGAUGAUGAAACUGAGGUUCAGAGAGGCCCAAUAGUCGACACAAAACCAAGGUGGGAAUGUGAAUCUGUUUUUCAUUCCGUGACCCUGUGGUGCCCUUCUCUACAGCUGUUCAUCCACAGACCUUCAAAGGAUGUGCCACCAGUCUCAGCUAUGCAGUAAACAGUCCCGGCAAAGGAUCUUUGUGCAGAUUUGUGAUUAAAGGCAAACAAGAUAAUGAGUCCCAGGACCAGGGGAGAGCAGUCCGCACUCUCAUGCAUUCCUCAAUUCACAUGGCCCUGGAAACCUUUCAGUGUGGCAGUGGCUGUGGCAAUCACUCUGCCAACUGCAGAAUAAAGGGUCCUGUCUGGAAAUGCAAUUAUUUCCAAAUAAAAGGUUUUUAAAAGACACACACGAUAGCAUUUUUGGUUUUCAGAAACUGAUAUACCAAAUAAGGACAAAAAUUAACUUUGUAAAAAAUGAAGAUGAUGAAGACAAUGAAGAGAUGGUGAUGAUGAUGAUGGAUGAAGAUUGUGGUGAUAAGCAUGAUGAAUAUAUUGAGAAGGUGAAGAUGAUGAAGAUGAAGAUGGUGAUGAUGAUGGUAGCAGCAACCACCAUUUUCUGAGCACAUAAAUGUGCCACUCACUAUGUUGGCUACUCUAUAGACAUUAUCUCUAAUUAUUACAAUAACCCUGUAAGACAAAGUUUAGCACCUCCAUUUAACACAUGAGAAACUGAAGCUCAGAGAAGUGAAGUAACCUGCCUGAGGUCACAACCUUAGGCAUGAAAAAGGAUUGACAGAGAUUACUGCUUGAAUUAUUACUCCAAAUCCUGUGCCUCUAACCACUAACAUAACCACUUCAUUU